GCGAUCGGUGGAUGCCUUGGCACCAAGAGCCGAUGAAGGACGUUGUGACCUGCGAUAAGCCCUGGGGAGUUGGUGAGCGAGCUGUGAUCCGGGGGUGUCCGAAUGGGGAAACCUGGAAUGUCCGGAGUAGUGUCCGGUGGCCCUGCCCUGAAUGUAUAGGGGUGUGGGUGGUAACGCGGGGAAGUGAAACAUCUUAGUACCCGUAGGAAGAGAAAACAAGUGUGAUUCCGUGAGUAGUGGCGAGCGAAAGCGGAGGAGGCUAAACCGUGUGUGUGUUCAAGCCGGCAGGUGUUGCAUGUGCGGGGUUGUGGGGGCCUUGUGGUUCUGCUGCCGCAGGAUUGGCCAGUGAGAAAUGUUGCGUGAAGGUGAAGCGUCUGGGAAGGCGUACCGGAGUGGGUGAGAGUCCUGUAACUGUAAGCGUGGCACUGGUGUGGGGUUGCCCCGAGUAGCGUGGGACUCGUGGAAUUUCGCGUGAAUCUGGCGGGACCACCCGUCAAGCCUAAAUACUCCUUGGUGACCGAUAGUGGAUGAGUACCGUGAGGGAAGGGUGAAAAGUACCCCGGGAGGGGAGUGAAAGAGUUCCUGAAACCGGUCGCAUGCAAGCCGUCAGAGCCUGUGUGGUGAUGGCGUGCCUUUUGAAGAAUGAGCCUGCGAGUUAGUGAUGCGUGGCGAGGUUAACCCGUGGUGGGGGAGUCGUAGCGAAAGCGAGUCCGAUAAGGGCGUGAGUCGCGUGUUCUAGACCCGAAGCGGUGUGAUCUAUCCAUGGCCAGGAUGAAGCGUCGGUAAGACGUCGUGGAGGUCCGAACCCACUUCAGUUAAAAAUGGAGGGGAUGAGUUGUGGAUAGGGGUGAAAGGCCAAUCAAACACCGUGAUAGCUGGUUCUCCCCGAAAUGCAUUUAGGUGCAGCGUUGCGUGGUUCUUGUUGGAGGUAGAGCACUGGAUGGUCUAGGGGGCUUAUCGGCUUACCGAAAUCAGCCAAACUCCGAAUGCUGGCAAGCGUAGCGUGGCAGUGAGACGGCGGGGGAUAAGCUUCGUCGUCGAGAGGGAAACAGCCCAGAUCAUCAGCUAAGGCCCCUAAGUGGUGACUCAGUGGGAAAGGAUGUGGAGUUGCGUAGACAACCAGGAGGUUGGCUUGGAAGCAGCCAUCCUUGAAAGAGUGCGUAAUAGCUCACUGGUCAAGUGAUUCCGCGCCGAUAAUGUAGCGGGGCUUAAGUUAUCCGCCGAAGCUGUGGCAACCUGUGUGGUUGGGUAGGGGAGCGUCGUGUCAGUGGUGAAGCUGCCGGGUGACUGUGUGGUGGAGUUGAUGCGAGUGAGAAUGCAGGCAUGAGUAGCGUGUGACGGGUGGGAAUCCCGUCCGCCGAUUAUCCAAGGGUUCCAGGGUCAAGUUUGUCUGCCCUGGGUGAGUCGGGUCCUAAGGCGAGGCCGACAGGCGUAGUCGAUGGGUAACCAGUUGAUAUUCUGGUACCGGCUUGUCACCGUCCGUGUCGAGGUGUGUGAUGCUAAGCAUGUGAGCUUGUCUUGGGAGUGUUUUUGAUGCUUCUGGGGUGGGUGAGUGUGUGAACCGAUCAUGUAGUAGGCAAGCUGCGGAGGGACGCAGUGAGGUAGCUCAUCCCCGGUGAUGGUUGUCCGGGGCUAAGUGUGUGGACUGUCUGGUAGGUAAAUCCGCUGGGCGUGAAGGUUGAGGCAUGAUGGGGAGCCCACGGUUGUGGGUGAGUGAGUGAUCCUGUACUGUCGAGAAAAGCUUCGUGAGCGAGGUGGCGGGUCCGCCCGUACCCUAAACCGACACUGGUGGAUAGGUAGAGUAUACCGAGGCGAUCGAGUGAAUCGUGGUGAAGGAACUCGGCAAAAUGCCCCCGUAACUUUGGGAUAAGGGGGACCUGAGCUGUCGUGCACCCGUGCGGUGUGGUGGCGGUGAGGGGCGCAGAGUCCAGGGGGAAACGAC
This 1942-nucleotide ribosomal RNA is filed under the name Thalassiosira gravida. Its description in RNAcentral is "partial Bacterial large subunit ribosomal RNA". It matches the Rfam family "Bacterial large subunit ribosomal RNA", at positions 17 to 1800 of the family's 2925-position model. Lineage: Eukaryota; Bacillariophyta; Thalassiosirophyceae; Thalassiosirales; Thalassiosiraceae. The record is from RNAcentral.